AGCUCCAAUAGCGUAUAUUAAAGUUGUUGCAGUUAAAAAGCUCGUAGUUGAAUUUCUGGGCUUGCCGAGCGUUGGAUUCUGUCCUUCGUUCCGCGGGUUCAUCUUCGCCCUUCGGGGCGUCUUUUACUGUGAAAAAAUUAGAGUGUUCAAAGCAGGCGAUAGCCGUUGGAUACAUUAGCAUGGAAUAAUAAGAUAUGACCUUGGCGGUCUAUUUUGUUGGUUUGCACGCCUAGGUAAUGAUUAAUAGGGACAGUCGGGGGUAUUCGUAUUCAAUUGUCAGAGGUGAAAUUCUUGGAUUUAGGGAAGACGAACAACUGCGAAAGCAUUUAUCAAGGAUGUUUUCA
Molecule: ribosomal RNA, 344 nt
Filed under: uncultured eukaryote
Lineage: Eukaryota
Description: SSU rRNA
Rfam family: Eukaryotic small subunit ribosomal RNA
Source: RNAcentral